AGCUCUCAGGACAGAUCUCAGAGCCCUGAAGUCUGCUAUUGGCCCUGCACGGUGUGACCUUUGCCAAGGUCACUGCCCCUCCCCUUUCUGUGCCCGGGGGUGGGGUGCUGGCUGUGGCCUCUUCCAGCCAGGGGAAGUGGUGGCUUCACCUUUCGUCAGGUCCUGGGAACUUCCUGCUCCUGAGGCCUGGAAGGCUCACACUUUCCCUCCUGUGCCUUUAUCAGCUCUGUUCCUCUUGCGGGUCACAGCCCAAAUGUUCCUUUGCAGGGAGAUUGGCUGGUGAUGUCUGCUGUCUGGGAAGCAUGCUGUGUUUUGUAUGUGCAGCACUUACAUUGAAAAGGCUGUGCAUUUUGUUGCUGAAAGUCUACUUCUUCUAAAAGCCGUGAGGUGAGCAGCUCUCCUCUGCCAUGACUGUCUGCCAUGAUGCUUCUUCCUCACCACAGCCCUACAGCCAGGGAGCCCUCUGAAACCUCUGAGACUAUGAACCAAGCUCUGGCUCCAUCAUUUCUUGCAACCACGUCCAGGUGGAUCAUCUUCAGCACUGCCCAUCUCAACCCUGAACCCAUCUCCUCCUGGGAAGUCAAUCGGCAAGUUGUCAGCACUGGCCUCAGCAGGAAGCUUUCGUCCCUCAACUCUUCCUGCCAAAAGCUCGGCAAAGCCCACUCCGUCUGGCCUGGUAUUCUGUUGUGCUUCCUGUCUUCUUCCCACUAGGUUUGCUUCCUGAACACAGCCCCUCCUUUGCACACUCCAGAGAGCUGUAUGUAGGCUUUAGGAGAGCUUCCUAGACCUUGGCUUCUUGCCUGCCAGGCCCUUGGUUGCUUCCCUCACAACCUCCAGAGGAAGAAUCCAUGCUCUUCCUUUGGAAACACAUGGGCCAUCUGGGGCCAAUGCUAGUCAUGUCCUUUGGACAGUGUGUCUGGAUUUCCCUCCAGGCCCAGGGUUUGGACAGCACACGAUUGUUCCUGCAGGCUCUACCUACCCUCUUGAAAGGGCCAUUUGGACCCCACCUGCUCCGGGGAGGUAUAGAGAAGCAGAACUCCUCUUCUCCCAACCUCAGAAUUCGACCAAAAGAAGGCACAGUGACCCUGUAGGUUACAUGGGCUUGUGAGACAAAAUCAGGAUUCAAAAAGAGCUUGACAAGCGAAGCCUCCAGGCAGUCUUGUCCUCAUCUGCAUGGUCGCAUGCUCACCUGCAGGAUGAGGAAUAGUUAGCUUUGUAACAUCACCUGAGACACAUACACCGAGCUCUUAGUGCAUUUUCUAGAUGGCUGUCUCCAUGCGAGUCAUCAGUUUGUGAGAUAACUGAGCUCAGACUGCGUUUACACAGCACAGGACUGGGAGGCAGAGGGAAGUGUCAGCUCCGCUGCACGCCGUGCUGGUGGGCUGCACCUGCAACGCGGGUCUAUUCUCAGUAGCCACGUGUUUAGGAAACUAUAAAUAACCCAGAACACAACACCAAAGCCAAAGCACUUACCUUGUUGAGGGCCCAGAGAAUGCUCAGGGCACAGGGGUAGAGGUUUGGGAGCUGUAAAAUGUGUCUUCCCAUGUGUCCUGGGCCAUCAUGGAAUGCUGGUUUACAGGAUCCCAAGGGACUGAUAGUCGGGUAGAAUUUCAUGAGAAGACCUGCGAAUCAAACAGCCCCAAAUGCAGCUGCCAGCAUUGGCAGGAAGAGAGCAUCUCUCUCACGGAAGGAGUCAGCACUGGCAGAGGGCCACACGCUGGGCUGUGGCAGAGGCAAGUGAAGCUUCGGGGGCUGGGGUGUGUGCCUUCUUACAUGCCCUUGCAGCUCUGACACUUUCUGAUUCUACGUCUUCCAAAGCCAGAUCUUCACUGAAGAGAAGGACUGUGUAAAGAAUGUUAUUCACACACACGUGUAAAUAUUGUUUUGUCUCUCUGGUAUGGGAAACUGAAAGGUAAAUAAGGACAAAAAUGUAUAAUAAAAUGAAAUAGGAAGAACUGUUCUAAAGAAAAGGGAAAUUGUUAAGGGUAAGGGAAAAGGGAAGGGAAAGGGGAAAAAAACCAGAAAAGAAGGAAAAAAAUAGAAACAAAGCUUUUGUAAAUAAG
Heterocephalus glaber (naked mole-rat) is the source of this 2063-nucleotide long non-coding RNA. The record is from Ensembl. NCBI's taxonomy places the organism in Eukaryota, Metazoa, Chordata, Mammalia, Rodentia, Bathyergidae.